CGGAGAGUAGUGUCAACGGUAGCACGAGUCUUUUGGGAAGAUUUAGUCCGGGUUCGAAUCCCGGCUCUCCGA
RNAcentral lists this transfer RNA (72 nucleotides) under Minisyncoccota bacterium. RNAcentral's name for it is "tRNA-Pro". It matches the Rfam family "tRNA". From Rfam's summary of the family: Transfer RNA (tRNA) molecules are approximately 80 nucleotides in length. Their secondary structure includes four short double-helical elements and three loops (D, anti-codon, and T loops). The record is from RNAcentral. Lineage: Bacteria; Bacillati; Minisyncoccota.